RNAcentral lists this long non-coding RNA (1164 nucleotides) under Neogale vison (American mink). RNAcentral's name for it is "Neovison vison (American mink) lncRNA (ENSNVIG00000008697.1)". The record is from RNAcentral. Lineage: Eukaryota; Metazoa; Chordata; Mammalia; Carnivora; Mustelidae.
UGCUCUCAGUGCGAAGUUGCUUGUCCUUCUCCCUCUGUUCUUCCUCUUGUACUCUCUUUCUCAAAUAAAUAAAUACAUAAAAUUUUCAAAAAAAUAGAAGAUAAAAGUGAAUUCCUCAGAAAUUGCAUUGGUCCUGCCUCUAUUUACUUAGUCAACUUCUUCCUAUUUUAGCUAUUCCCAUCAACUAAUAGUUCUAUUAGAAAUCUGAGAAGGCAAAUCUUUAACUUUAGUCAGUCAAUAAAGAGAGAAUCCUCAGACAUCAAGGCAAAAAGAAGAGGCCUAAUGUAUUCACCCUUUUUAGGCUUAGUAGCUUUUGAGACUGCCAUGUGCUUCCCUCUACCCAUCCCUGUCACUGACUCAGCAGUCUGAAUCAAGAGGACUUAGGAUCUCUGUGGUUCCUUGAAGCACAGUCCCUAAUAGCUGGUGCCUGAAGGGUAUGUGUAACUUGCUCACAAUGAUUGAAAGGGCAAGUGGCUUCAGUUUGUUCAGGUUGAGCUGCAUUUACAGAGUGUGUACCCAGAAUGAGCUGAACUGUGUGUUGAAUUAGGAAGUAUGGCCGCCCAGGGCAAUCUGGCAAAUGUUGGCCCUCCUAAAAUGAGAGUAACCUUCAUUGUUGACAUUUUUCUGCCAAUGGUCUUGUUUCCUGUCCUUUUGGACAAUGAGUUAGGUCUGAUUUAGCUGUUCUCUGUAUUAGGAAGUCUUAGUUACACCCAAAAGAUGUGAAUAAGCCAAAUAUGUUCUUUAUUAAAUUUAUAUUUUGUCUAUUUAUUCACUCAUUUAUUCAUUCAUUCAAUCAUUUGCUCAUUCAUUUAUAGUUAAGUAACUAUUUUGUUUUGUAGUCAGAUAGUGUAGGUCAUUGCUUAAAGGCUGAAGUACAGAACAGGUGUCAUGCACACAAAAUAUUGUUUGAGAAUUUAAAUCUGGAUAUUUAGGAAGGUAGAAUUCCAGUUAAUCUGAUGAUUAUUGCAAUUGAAUCAGAAGCAACUGACUUUUCUAUUUAUUUUCUUCUUUGUUUUUUUCUGAGUAUGUCAUACUUCAGAAGCCUGACUGUUUCUUCCUUAUCCUCUUCAAAGCCAUCACUAAGAUUUUCUCUUAAAUUGGAUAUGAUGGAGUGCCAAAAGUUCAAGAGCUGAGCCACCUGAGUAUGUAUCCCCUCAUAGCCUC